GAUGAACGCUAGCUACAGGCUUAACACAUGCAAGUCGAGGGGCAGCAGAUCGAAAGCUUGCUUUUGAUGCUGGCGACCGGCGCACGGGUGAGUAACGCGUAUCCAACCUUCCCUAUAGUAGAGAAUAGCCCGGCGAAAGUCGGAUUAAUGCUCUAUGUUGUAUUUAGAGGACAUCUGAAGAAUACCAAAGGUUUACCGCUAUAGGAUGGGGAUGCGUCUGAUUAGGUUGUUGGCGGGGUAACGGCCCACCAAGGCGACGAUCGGUAGCCGGCCUGAGAGGGUGAUCGGCCACAUUGGGACUGAGAUACGGCCCAGACUCC
Molecule: ribosomal RNA, 320 nt
Filed under: Xylanibacter ruminicola
Lineage: Bacteria; Pseudomonadati; Bacteroidota; Bacteroidia; Bacteroidales; Prevotellaceae
Description: bacterial SSU rRNA
Rfam family: Bacterial small subunit ribosomal RNA
Source: RNAcentral